GACAGAGGUGCCAAGCGUUAGGCGGAAUCACUGGGCUUAAAGCGUGUGUAGGCGGGUGAUCAAGUACCUUGUGAAAUCCCACGGCUCAACCGUGGAACCGCUGGGUAUACUGGUUGUCUUGAGCCGGCUAGGGGCGAGCGGAACAGACGGUGGAGCGGUGAAAUGCGUAGAUAUCGUCUGGAACGCCGAAGGUGAAAACAGCUCGCUGGGGCCGCGCUGACGCUGAGACACGAAAGCCAGGGGAGCGAACGGG
Molecule: ribosomal RNA, 253 nt
Filed under: uncultured bacterium
Lineage: Bacteria
Description: partial 16S ribosomal RNA
Rfam family: Bacterial small subunit ribosomal RNA
Source: RNAcentral